Molecule: non-coding RNA, 103 nt
Organism: Acanthosepion pharaonis
Lineage: Eukaryota; Metazoa; Mollusca; Cephalopoda; Sepiida; Sepiidae
Source: the annotation of a GenBank genome assembly
UCACCUUGAAACACCGGUUUCCGUAUGAUAACGGAAGUUAAGCAACAUCGCGCCUGGUUAGUACCUACAUGGGUAACCGCUUGGGAAUACUAGGUACUGCAAG